Xylaria cubensis is the source of this 112-nucleotide non-coding RNA. The record is from the annotation of a GenBank genome assembly. Lineage: Eukaryota; Fungi; Ascomycota; Sordariomycetes; Xylariales; Xylariaceae.
GGGCGAAUGGUCUAGGGGUAUGAUAUUCGCUUUGCACUGGUUGCUUGGUUGAGGUCAGGCAAGAUGAAUCAAUGCUUGCGAAGGGUCCGGGGUUCAAAUCCCCGUUCGUCCA